UACGUAGGUGGCAAGCGUUGUCCGGAUUUAUUGGGCGUAAAGCGAGCGCAGGCGGAAAGAUAAGUCUGAUGUGAAAGCCCCCGGCUUAACCGAGGAAUUGCAUCGGAAACUGUGUUUCUUGAGUGCAGGAGAGGAAAGUGGAAUUCCUAGUGUAGCGGUGAAAUGCGUAGAUAUUAGGAGGAACACCAGUGGCGAAGGCGACUUUCUGGACUGUAACUGACGUUGAGGCACGAAAGUGUGGGGAGCAAACAGG
This 253-nucleotide ribosomal RNA is filed under the name uncultured Lactobacillus sp. RNAcentral describes it as "partial 16S ribosomal RNA". It matches the Rfam family "Bacterial small subunit ribosomal RNA", at positions 524 to 776 of the family's 1533-position model. The record is from RNAcentral. Lineage: Bacteria; Bacillati; Bacillota; Bacilli; Lactobacillales; Lactobacillaceae.